This 294-nucleotide ribosomal RNA is filed under the name Staphylococcus aureus. RNAcentral describes it as "partial 16S ribosomal RNA". It matches the Rfam family "Bacterial small subunit ribosomal RNA", at positions 1241 to 1533 of the family's 1533-position model. The record is from RNAcentral. Lineage: Bacteria; Bacillati; Bacillota; Bacilli; Caryophanales; Staphylococcaceae.
AAAGGGCAGCGAAACCGUGAGGUCAAGCAAAUCCCAUAAAGUUGUUCUCAGUUCGGAUUGUAGUCUGCAACUCGACUACAUGAAGCUGGAAUCGCUAGUAAUCGUAGAUCAGCAUGCUACGGUGAAUACGUUCCCGGGUCUUGUACACACCGCCCGUCACACCACGAGAGUUUGUAACACCCGAAGCCGGUGGAGUAACCUUUUAGGAGCUAGCCGUCGAAGGUGGGACAAAUGAUUGGGGUGAAGUCGUAACAAGGUAGCCGUAUCGGAAGGUGCGGCUGGAUCACCUCCUUU